Molecule: ribosomal RNA, 1556 nt
Filed under: Salmonella enterica subsp. enterica serovar Manhattan str. SA20034532
Lineage: Bacteria; Pseudomonadati; Pseudomonadota; Gammaproteobacteria; Enterobacterales; Enterobacteriaceae
Description: bacterial SSU rRNA
Rfam family: Bacterial small subunit ribosomal RNA
Source: RNAcentral
ACUUAAAUUGAAGAGUUUGAUCAUGGCUCAGAUUGAACGCUGGCGGCAGGCCUAACACAUGCAAGUCGAACGGUAACAGGAAGCAGCUUGCUGCUUCGCUGACGAGUGGCGGACGGGUGAGUAAUGUCUGGGAAACUGCCUGAUGGAGGGGGAUAACUACUGGAAACGGUGGCUAAUACCGCAUAACGUCGCAAGACCAAAGAGGGGGACCUUCGGGCCUCUUGCCAUCAGAUGUGCCCAGAUGGGAUUAGCUAGUUGGUGAGGUAACGGCUCACCAAGGCGACGAUCCCUAGCUGGUCUGAGAGGAUGACCAGCCACACUGGAACUGAGACACGGUCCAGACUCCUACGGGAGGCAGCAGUGGGGAAUAUUGCACAAUGGGCGCAAGCCUGAUGCAGCCAUGCCGCGUGUAUGAAGAAGGCCUUCGGGUUGUAAAGUACUUUCAGCGGGGAGGAAGGUGUUGUGGUUAAUAACCGCAGCAAUUGACGUUACCCGCAGAAGAAGCACCGGCUAACUCCGUGCCAGCAGCCGCGGUAAUACGGAGGGUGCAAGCGUUAAUCGGAAUUACUGGGCGUAAAGCGCACGCAGGCGGUCUGUCAAGUCGGAUGUGAAAUCCCCGGGCUCAACCUGGGAACUGCAUUCGAAACUGGCAGGCUUGAGUCUUGUAGAGGGGGGUAGAAUUCCAGGUGUAGCGGUGAAAUGCGUAGAGAUCUGGAGGAAUACCGGUGGCGAAGGCGGCCCCCUGGACAAAGACUGACGCUCAGGUGCGAAAGCGUGGGGAGCAAACAGGAUUAGAUACCCUGGUAGUCCACGCCGUAAACGAUGUCUACUUGGAGGUUGUGCCCUUGAGGCGUGGCUUCCGGAGCUAACGCGUUAAGUAGACCGCCUGGGGAGUACGGCCGCAAGGUUAAAACUCAAAUGAAUUGACGGGGGCCCGCACAAGCGGUGGAGCAUGUGGUUUAAUUCGAUGCAACGCGAAGAACCUUACCUGGUCUUGACAUCCACAGAACUUUCCAGAGAUGGAUUGGUGCCUUCGGGAACUGUGAGACAGGUGCUGCAUGGCUGUCGUCAGCUCGUGUUGUGAAAUGUUGGGUUAAGUCCCGCAACGAGCGCAACCCUUAUCCUUUGUUGCCAGCGGUCCGGCCGGGAACUCAAAGGAGACUGCCAGUGAUAAACUGGAGGAAGGUGGGGAUGACGUCAAGUCAUCAUGGCCCUUACGACCAGGGCUACACACGUGCUACAAUGGCGCAUACAAAGAGAAGCGACCUCGCGAGAGCAAGCGGACCUCAUAAAGUGCGUCGUAGUCCGGAUUGGAGUCUGCAACUCGACUCCAUGAAGUCGGAAUCGCUAGUAAUCGUGGAUCAGAAUGCCACGGUGAAUACGUUCCCGGGCCUUGUACACACCGCCCGUCACACCAUGGGAGUGGGUUGCAAAAGAAGUAGGUAGCUUAACCUUCGGGAGGGCGCUUACCACUUUGUGAUUCAUGACUGGGGUGAAGUCGUAACAAGGUAACCGUAGGGGAACCUGCGGUUGGAUCACCUCCUUACCUGAAAGAA